CAAAGGUUUGGUCCUAACCCUAAAGUCAAUUUGAACUCAACUUACACAUGCAAGUCUCAGCACCCCCGUGAGAACGCCCUAAAACCCCUUACUGGGACAAGGAGCUGGUAUCAGGCUCACUUUUUUUAGCCCAAAACACCUAGUUUCACCACAUCCUCAAGGAAGAUCAGCAGUGAUUAAUAUUGAAUAUGCGCGACAGCAAGAUUCAGUUAGAGUUCAGAGAGCCGGCAAAAUUGGUGCCAGCCGCCGCGGUUAUACCAAUAGACUCAAAUUGACUUCAAUCGGCGUAAAGCGUGAUUAAAGUCUUUAAUUAAUUAAAGACAAACCUCCACUAAGCUGUGACACGCUUGUGUUUGAGAAAAUCAAAAACGAAAGUUUCUUUAAUUAAACCCCACUUGAACUCACGACAGUUAAGACACAAACUGGGAUUAGAUACCCCACUAUGCCUAACCGUAAACCUUUACUUACAAUCUAAACGCCAGAGAACUACGAGCAAAGCUUAAAACUCAAAGGACUUGACGGUACCCCACAUCCACCUAGAGGAGCCUGUCCUAUAAUCGAUAACCCUCGCUUAACCUCACCAUUUUUAGCUAAUCAGUCUGUAUACCUCCGUCGUCAGCUUACCACGUGAGCGAAUCAUAGUAAGCCUAAUGCCCACACGCCAAUACGUCAGGUCAAGGUGCAACUAACAAAAUGUGAAAGAGAUGGGCUACACUUUCUAAUUUAGAAGAUACGAAAAACUUUAUGAAACCUAGUUAGAAGGCGGAUUUAGCAGUAAAAAGAAACUAGAGAGUUCUUUUUAACUUGGCACUGGGGUGUGUACACACCGCCCGUCACCCUCUUCAAACCUAAUCCAUAGUAUUUAACUAACUUUUGACCCCCCAAAGAAGAGGUAAGUCGUAACAUGGUAAGUAUACCGGAAGGUGUGCUUGGAAAC
This 937-nucleotide non-coding RNA is filed under the name Callimedusa perinesos (orange-spotted leaf frog). Its description in RNAcentral is "12S ribosomal RNA". It matches the Rfam family "Bacterial small subunit ribosomal RNA". The record is from RNAcentral. Lineage: Eukaryota; Metazoa; Chordata; Amphibia; Anura; Hylidae.